UCGUCAGCUCGUGCCGUGAGGUGUCAGGUUAAGUCCUAUAACGAGCGCAACCCCUGUGGUUAGUUGCCAGCACGUAAUGGUGGGAACUCUAGCCAGACUGCCGGUGCAAACCGUGAGGAAGGUGGGGAUGACGUCAAAUCAUCAUGCCCCUUAUGUCUUGGGCUUCACGCAUGCUACAAUGGCUGGUACAGAGAGUGGCGA
RNAcentral lists this ribosomal RNA (201 nucleotides) under Neobodo designis. RNAcentral describes it as "partial Bacterial small subunit ribosomal RNA". It matches the Rfam family "Bacterial small subunit ribosomal RNA", at positions 1052 to 1252 of the family's 1533-position model. The record is from RNAcentral. Lineage: Eukaryota; Euglenozoa; Kinetoplastea; Neobodonida; Neobodonidae.